GACCUUGCCCUGCAUGGGGUUUGGUGGAAAGUUUUUCGGCCUGGGAUGGGCUCGCGGCCUAUCAGCUUGUUGGUGGGGUGAUGGCCUACCAAGGCGACGACGGGUAGCCGGCCUGAGAGGGCGACCGGCCACACUGGGACUGAGACACGGCCCAGACUCCUACGGGAGGCAGCAGUGGGGAAUAUUGCACAAUGGGCGGAAGCCUGAUGCAGCGACGCCGCGUGAGGGAUGACGGCCUUCGGGUUGUAAACCUCUUUCAGCAGGGACGAAGCGCAAGUGACGGUACCUGCAGAAGAAGCACCGGCCAACUACGUGCCAGCAGCCGCGGUAAGACGUAGGGUGCGAGCGUUGUCCGGAUUUAUUGGGCGUAAAGAGCUCGUAGGCGGCUUGUCGCGUCGACCGUGAAAACU
RNAcentral lists this ribosomal RNA (410 nucleotides) under Micromonospora sp. RNAcentral's name for it is "bacterial SSU rRNA". It matches the Rfam family "Bacterial small subunit ribosomal RNA", at positions 173 to 602 of the family's 1533-position model. The record is from RNAcentral. Lineage: Bacteria; Bacillati; Actinomycetota; Actinomycetes; Micromonosporales; Micromonosporaceae.